AUGAAAAACACAAUCCAAACCUUCUCUCCUGUCAACAGUGGCCAGCCCCCACAACUACGAGAUGCUCAAGGAGGAGCACGAGGUGGCUGUGCUGGGGGCGCCCCACAACCCUGCUCCCCACAAUCCUGCUCCCCGGAUGUCCGCCAUGAUCCACAUCCGCAGUGAGACCUCCGUGCCCGACCACAUCGUCUGGUCCCUGUUCAACACCCUCUUCAUGAACCCCUGCUGCCUGGGCUUCAUAGCAUUUGCCUACUCCAUGAAGUCUAGGGACAGGAAGAUGGUUGGCGACCUGACUGGGGCCCAGGACUAUGCCUCCACCGCCAAGUGCCUAAACAUCUGGGCCCUGAUUUUGGGCAUCCUCAUGACCAUUCUGCUCAUCAUCAUCCCAGUAUUGAUCUUCCAAGCCUAUUGACAGAUCAGGAGACAUCAUUCAGGCCAGGAGCUCUGCCCAUAACCUGUAUCCCACGUGCUCCACCUUCCAUUCCUCGCCCUGCCCCUGGAGCCGAGUCCUGUAUCAGCCCUUUAUCCUCACACACUUUUCUACAAUGGCAUUCAAUAAAGUGUACAUGUUU
Piliocolobus tephrosceles (Ugandan red Colobus) is the source of this 572-nucleotide RNA transcript. It is a transcript of the gene named interferon-induced transmembrane protein 3 pseudogene, with no coding region annotated. The transcript has a single exon. The record is from RefSeq and is a predicted model, not a curated record. NCBI's taxonomy places the organism in Eukaryota, Metazoa, Chordata, Mammalia, Primates, Cercopithecidae.